Non-coding RNA from Lentinula edodes (shiitake mushroom), 92 nucleotides. The record is from Rfam. Lineage: Eukaryota; Fungi; Basidiomycota; Agaricomycetes; Agaricales; Omphalotaceae.
GGUGAGAUGGCCGAGUGGUCUAAGGCGCUAGAUUUAGGCUGUUUGCAAAUCUCUAGUCAUUCGUGGCGUGGGUUCAAAUCCCACUCUCAUCA